CCUCAAACGCCUUUCCCGCUCCUUGCUCCUUUUGCUGCCUGGUAGAUGUCAUGAUUUAUCUAUUCCUCCGUUCACGUGGUCAGCCAAAAAGUACGGAAUAUUUCUGGGUGCUACACCUGUGCUAAGCACAGGAGGGACAGCAAGCGACAUGGACAAGCCCCGACUCCAAUAGAAUUUCGGAAAAGCCAGACACGAAGCAACUCAUGGCAAUAAAGGCAGAGAAUGAGAUCACAGUGGAGAGUGUUGUUGAAAACUGUUGAAAGAGGACCCAGUAAAGUAAGCUUUCAUCCAACUCCUUCCACCUGUUGUCAUCUUGCUUUGAGCCUCUCCAUUGCUCAGUGGGUGUUGACUGAACCAACCAUGGAUAGUGAAUUAUCAUAGAAUUCACUAUUGAAAAAAAUCCCUAUAUAAGUGGACCUGCUGCGUUCAGACCCAUGUUGUCCAAGGUUGAAUGGUUCUUGAUCAACUCAUUUUCCUGCCUGCUGAUGUACUGCCUUUGGUGCAUUUUCUUCACUGACACAGGAGUGAAUUUUGGUCAAAUUGGGUGAGUGCUCUUAACGCUCACAUUGUUCAACGUCAACUGCACUGCGCAUGUAGGAAAGAAGCUGAGGUCCCAAACACUUACUUGCCUUCGUGUAUCCUACCUGAUUAAAAACUGCUGCCUUCUGGAGCUCCCGUCGUGGCGCAGUGGUUAACGAAUCCAACUAGGAACCAUGAGGUUGUGGGUUCGAUCCCUGGCCUUGCUCAGUGGGUUAAGGAUCCGGCAUUGCCGUGAGCUGGGGUGUAGGCUGCAGACUCGGCUCGGAUCCUACGUUGCUGUGGCUCUGGCGUAGGCCGGUGGCAACGGCUCCAAUUAGACCCCCUAGCCUGGGAACCUCCAUAUGCCACAGGAGCAGCCCUAGAAAAGGCAAAGAGACCAAAAAAAAUAAAUAAAUAAAUAGAUAAAAUAAAAUAAAAAAA
RNAcentral lists this long non-coding RNA (960 nucleotides) under Sus scrofa (pig). RNAcentral describes it as "lncRNA (ENSSSCG00035038976.1)". The record is from RNAcentral. Lineage: Eukaryota; Metazoa; Chordata; Mammalia; Artiodactyla; Suidae.